UUUCCGUAGGUGAACCUGCGGAAGGAUCAUUAUCGAGUUCUUGAAACGGGUUGUAGCUGGCCUUCCGAGGCAUGUGCACGCCCUGCUCAAUCCACUCUACACCUGUGCACUUACUGUAGGUUUCUUGGUCGCGUUGGGUUCCUUUACUGGGGCUCGACAAAGCCGAGGGGCUUAUGUUUUACUACAAACUAUAAAGUAACUGAAUGUAUACCGCGUCUAACGCAUCUAUAUACAACUUUCAGCAACGGAUCUCUUGGCUCUCGCAUCGAUGAAGAACGCAGC
This 282-nucleotide unclassified non-coding RNA is filed under the name uncultured fungus. RNAcentral describes it as "sequence contains ITS1, 5.8S rRNA gene". The stretch from base 234 to 282 matches the Rfam family "5.8S ribosomal RNA", at positions 1 to 49 of the family's 154-position model. The record is from RNAcentral. Lineage: Eukaryota; Fungi.